AUGAACGCUAGCUACAGGCUUAACACAUGCAAGUCGAGGGGCAGCAUGGUCUUAGCUUGCUAAGGCCGAUGGCGACCGGCGCACGGGUGAGUAACACGUAUCCAACCUGCCGUCUAUUCUUGGACAGCCUUCUGAAAGGAAGAUUAAUACAAGAUGGCAUCAUGAGUCCGCAUGUUCACAUGAUUAAAGGUAUUCCGGUAGACGAUGGGGAUGCGUUCCAUUAGAUAGUAGGCGGGGUAACGGCCCACCUAGUCUUCGAUGGAUAGGGGUUCUGAGAGGAAGGUCCCCCACAUUGGAACUGAGACACGGUCCAAACUCCUACGGGAGGCAGCAGUGAGGAAUAUUGGUCAAUGGGCGAGAGCCUGAACCAGCCAAGUAGCGUGAAGGAUGACUGCCCUAUGGGUUGUAAACUUCUUUUAUAAAGGAAUAAAGUCGGGUAUGCAUACCCGUUUGCAUGUACUUUAUGAAUAAGGAUCGGCUAACUCCGUGCCAGCAGCCGCGGUAAUACGGAGGAUCCGAGCGUUAUCCGGAUUUAUUGGGUUUAAAGGGAGCGUAGAUGGAUGUUUAAGUCAGUUGUGAAAGUUUGCGGCUCAACCGUAAAAUUGCAGUUGAUACUGGAUAUCUUGAGUGCAGUUGAGGCAGGCGGAAUUCGUGGUGUAGCGGUGAAAUGCUUAGAUAUCACGAAGAACUCCGAUUGCGAAGGCAGCCUGCUAAGCUGCAACUGACAUUGAGGCUCGAAAGUGUGG
This 746-nucleotide ribosomal RNA is filed under the name uncultured Bacteroidales bacterium. RNAcentral describes it as "bacterial SSU rRNA". It matches the Rfam family "Bacterial small subunit ribosomal RNA", at positions 29 to 764 of the family's 1533-position model. The record is from RNAcentral. Lineage: Bacteria; Pseudomonadati; Bacteroidota; Bacteroidia; Bacteroidales.